GAUGAAGAACGUAGCGAAAUGCGAUAAGUAAUGUGAAUUGCAGAAUUCAGUGAAUCAUCGAAUCUUUGAACGCACAUUGCGCCCGCCAGUAUUCUGGCGGGCAUGCCUGUUCGAGCGUCAUUCAACCAUCAAGCCCCCGGCUUGUGUUGGGGACCUGCGGCUGCCGCAGGCCCUGAAAAGCAGUGGCGGGCUCGCUGUCACACCGAGCGUAGUAGCAUACAUCUCGCUCUGGGCGUGCUGCGGGUUCCGGCCGUUAAACCACCUUCAUAACCCAAGGUUGACCUCGGAUCAGGUAGGAAGACCCGCUGAACUUAAGCAUAUCAAUAAGCGGAGGA
RNAcentral lists this unclassified non-coding RNA (335 nucleotides) under soil metagenome. Its description in RNAcentral is "partial contains 5.8S ribosomal RNA, internal transcribed spacer 2, and large subunit ribosomal RNA". The stretch from base 1 to 120 matches the Rfam family "5.8S ribosomal RNA", at positions 35 to 154 of the family's 154-position model. The record is from RNAcentral.